RNAcentral lists this ribosomal RNA (253 nucleotides) under uncultured bacterium. Its description in RNAcentral is "partial 16S ribosomal RNA". It matches the Rfam family "Bacterial small subunit ribosomal RNA", at positions 524 to 776 of the family's 1533-position model. The record is from RNAcentral.
GACAGAGGGUGCGAACGUUGCUCGGAAUCACUGGGCGUAAAGCGCGUGUAGGCUGACGGUCAAGUCAGGUGUGAAAUCCCUGGGCUCAACCCAGGAACUGCAUCUGAAACUGGCCAUCUUGAGUACUGGAGAGGGAAGUGGAAUUCCUGGUGUAGCGGUGGAAUGCGCAGAUAUCAGGAGGAACACCUAUGGCGAAGGCAGCUCGCUGGGACGGUACUGACGCUGAGGUGCGAAAGCGUGGGGAGCGAACAGG